This 429-nucleotide ribosomal RNA is filed under the name Pseudomonadota bacterium. RNAcentral's name for it is "Proteobacteria bacterium partial 16S ribosomal RNA". It matches the Rfam family "Bacterial small subunit ribosomal RNA", at positions 355 to 776 of the family's 1533-position model. The record is from RNAcentral. Lineage: Bacteria; Pseudomonadati; Pseudomonadota.
UGGGGAAUAUUGGACAAUGGGGGGAACCCUGAUCCAGCCAUGCCGCGUGUGUGAAGAAGGCCUUAUGGUUGUAAAGCACUUUAAGCGAGGAGGAGGGUACUGGUAUUAAUACUACCAGCUACUGGACGUUACUCGCAGAAUAAGCACCGGCUAACUCUGUGCCAGCAGCCGCGGUAAUACAGAGGGUGCGAGCGUUAAUCGGAUUUACUGGGCGUAAAGCGUGCGUAGGCGGCUAAUUGAGUCGGAUGUGAAAUCCCCGAGCUUAACUUGGAAUUGCAUUCGAUACUGGUUAGCUAGAGUGUGGGAGAGGAUGGUAGAAUUCCAGGUGUAGCGGUGAAAUGCGUAGAGAUCUGGAGGAAUACCGGUGGCGAAGGCAGCCAUCUGGCCUAACACUGACGCUGAGGUACGAAAGCAUGGGGAGCAAACAGG